GACGAACGCUGGCGGCGUGCUUAACACAUGCAAGUCGAACGGAAAGGCCCUGCUUUUGUGGGGUGCUCGAGUGGCGAACGGGUGAGUAACACGUGAGUAACCUGCCCUUGACUUUGGGAUAACUUCAGGAAACUGGGGCUAAUACCGGAUAGGAGCUCCUGCUGCAUGGUGGGGGUUGGAAAGUUUCGGCGGUUGGGGAUGGACUCGCGGCUUAUCAGCUUGUUGGUGGGGUAGUGGCUUACCAAGGCUUUGACGGGUAGCCGGCCUGAGAGGGUGACCGGCCACAUUGGGACUGAGAUACGGCCCAGACUCCUACGGGAGGCAGCAGUGGGGAAUAUUCACAAUGGGCGGAAGCCUGAUGCAGCAACGCCUCGUGCGGGAUGACGGCCUUCGGGUUGUAAACCGCUUUCGCCUGUGACGAAGCGUGAGUGACGGUAAUGGGUAAAGAAGCACCGGCUAACUACGUG
This 467-nucleotide ribosomal RNA is filed under the name uncultured bacterium. Its description in RNAcentral is "partial 16S ribosomal RNA". It matches the Rfam family "Bacterial small subunit ribosomal RNA", at positions 28 to 507 of the family's 1533-position model. The record is from RNAcentral.